GUGCUCCUGAUGACCCGGCAGCCGCCGCCCUGCAACCGCUCCCCGGGACCCGUCAGCGCUGACACUGAUGACCCGCGGCGGGGGCGCUGGGCGCGGGGUGCGCAGGCCACUGGCCGCGGGCCCUCGGACCCGCUCCUGCCGCCGGCUUCCGCUGCUUCCGCGUGCUGUGGACACUGCCAGAAUUUGUCAAAGGUCCUAGGAAGAAAAGGCCCUUUCGCCCCUCACCUCAGUGAACAGAUGGUGUGUUUGGACUGUUCGCAUUCGCUCCUCAUAGGGACAAAUGAAACUCUUCCCACUCCAUGGGAUUUCCCUUGAUUUUUACAUUGGGAGUAAAAAGAUGAAGCAUGAGACUCUUCAGCUGCAUCUCGAACUGCAUCUAAUCCCAGCACAUCCCUCUCAAUCUGUGAUUAAGUCUGUUCAUCUAAAAGAGAGACAUGGGAAAAAUGGAAAUGGGACUUUGGAAGAAGAAUGACCAUCCACAUUUCCAUCACAGCCUAGAUUUCCUACCUGAUUGAGAUUUUCAGUAGAUGGCCCUAGGUCUCGUUUCCCACUUUGGACCUGUUGCCCUUAGCUCCAAUAGAGGACUUCCAAGUAACUAGGAAGAUUUCACCUCUCUUUUGAAACAUAAUGGACAAAUGUGUUUCUUUAGGAUGAGAGGUGCACCUGGCUAGAGUCAAUCUUUAUUUUCCUAAAAUAACCAGGAUGAAAACUCAAAAUAAAAAGAAAUACCUCAUGGGCAAAAGCUCUCCCAGUACAACUAAUAUAGACACUCAACAUGGCUUCGUAGAAACUGACCCCUCUCCCAAGUCUUAUGUUUGUCAGAAUUGCAUGCCUAUUUCAAUCAAAGAAAAGUGAUCUGAUCUCUUCAGAUGAAGGUGGGACUUGGAGAUGCUGCUGCCUAGAGUAAACUUGCCAGAGAAAGGAUAAGCAUUCAGGAAGUGCCAGGAUGGGGUAUCAGCUGAGCAACGGCAGGAUCCCUUCUGCCAAUGGGCUGGCUCAGGGAGUAAACUUCCCCAGAAAGAACUUUUGUUUCUCUCUAGAAUCAAAGUGGACAAAAUGAUCACCUUAUUUGCCUGGAGUGAACCAGGUUGAAACUGAGAAGGCAGACAUGGGUGUUAAGCCAGAUGAAGUCAUAUGUUAUAACUAAGCUAUGUACCUGUAAGUUGCCUGGUAGUCUAAAUUGCACCAAGUAGUUUAUUCAUUCUCUCUAAACAGGUCAUAAUAAGUGUUAGUCUGUGAUCCACUGUGGAAAGAGAUUUCUGAAAAGAAUAGAGGCAGUGGUAGAGGGUCCAAGGUUGUUAUUUAAAGAGAUGAAUGUGGGCCAGGUGCCGUGGCUCACACCUGUAAUCCCAGCAUUUUGGGAGGCAGAGGCAGGAGGAUUGCUUAAGGCCAGAGUUCAAGACCAACCUGGCCAAUAUAGUGAGACCCCACUUCUCUACAAAAGAUAGAAAAACUUAGCCAGGCAUGGUGGCAGGUGCUAUACUCCCUGCCACCAUGGGACUAUAGCUCCUGUAGUCCCAGCUACUCAGGAGCUGAGGUGGAAGGAUUGCUUGAGCCCAGAAGUUCAAGGUUGCAGUGAGCCAUGAUCAUGCCACUGCACUCUUCCCUGGGUGACAGAUCGAGACCUGACUCAAUAAUAAUAAUAAUAAUAAUAAUAAUAAUGCAACACAAACUAUCUUUUACCUCUUGAACAAUGAAUACAGAUGCCAUGACUACAUCUGUUUGUUGGUGACCAGGGAGGCUGCCAGUGAGGAUUCAGGGUGGAAGUAGCCAUGUACCCAAUACCUAUUGUGAGAUGUGGCCUGGGGAGCCCUGAGAUUUCCUGGCCAGGCUCACUCACUACCCAGACACCUUCUUCCUGCAUGGCCCUCAGCCCCUCCAAGGCUCAAUUCUCAGACAUCAGAGUAAUCUACAUCCUCCAUCUUGAGUUAUUCCUCACAAGGCCUGCAAGUUUUCCUAGGAGGAAGGGAAGACAGGGUUGAACCCACGCAAUUCUAGAAUCUAGAAUUUGGAGGAUUUCUAAACCUCCCCUGUAAGUCAGCCCUUGAGAACUUGUAGAUUUUCUCAUCAUUUGCAGCAUGAGAGUCUGGAGUAGACUGUUUGGAUUUGACUCUUGGUUCCUUGGGCAAGUUACUUAACCUCUCAGCUGUGUGUCAGUUUCCUUAUCUAAAAAGUGUAGUUAAUAAUAACUGACAUCUCAGAGGUAUUGAGAGGUUACUGUGAUGAUUAAAUUAGUUGAUUCAUAUAAAAUGUUUAAAAGAGUGCCUGGCAUUAUUAUUAAUAGUAAUCAGUUUAGCAUAAGUCUUGCCUGCUGAUAAGGAGCUGGAUUGAAUGACUACUUAGAUUUUAUUUCUUGGCCUUCUCUUCUCUGGACUAGGUGACCCCAACUUUCUCCUUACUCCUGAAAAAUUUAUCCCAGUCUGCUAAGGAAGAGAAAGCCCAUGUGUGCAUGUACACACAUGCACCUACACAAACAUUUACACACAGUUUUGCUCUUCUAUACAGAAUUAAUAGAGCUACUAGAGUGUCUAGGAACUGACCUGAAAGAGAAAGGAAACACUGCUUUUUUUUUUUUUUUUUUUGAGAUGGAGUCUCACUCUGUCGCCAGGCUGGAGUGCAGUGGCACAACUGCGGCUCGCUUGCAACCUCCACUUCCUGGGUUCAAGUGAUUCUCCUGCCUCAGCCUCCCGAGUAGCUGGGACUACAGGCGCGCAUCACCACACCCAGCUAAUUUUUGUAUUUUUAGUAGAGAUGGGGUUUCACCAUGUUGGCAAGGAUGGUCUUGAUCUCUUGACCUCGUGAUCUGCCUGCCUCAGCCUCUCAAAGUGUUGGGAUUACAGGCAUGAGUCACCACGCCCGGCCGAAACACUGCUUAUUACAAUUUAUAGGUUUAUGUUCAAAAAGUUGCUAAUCUUAUUGCUGUGAACCCCUGCCAUCUCUAGUCCUGCCAUCUCUAGUACCUACAGGUACUGUAGACCAAAUCACAGAUUCAGAUUUGCCCAGUUCCUGUUCCUGUCUUGACCAAUCCUAGUAACUUAUUUGGGGCCCAGCCCCAUCUGCAGUGGAAGGUCUAUAAUUGGCCUUGCUUCCUUAAGCUAGGUACCCAGUGGGCCCAAGACUAAGCCUCAUGAAGCUUUUAGAGGCCCACUGAGAUUAACCUUUCUCAUCAGUGCUCACCUUGUCUUCCUAGUGACCAUGGCUGGCUUCUGUCUAGUUCUAGAGUUGCACUCUAAUUCUCUUCCAGGGCUGUUGCCCUGACCUACAUCUCUAUCUCUUUUAGAGCUUUCCAGCUUAUGUGUCCAAUGUCAGUCCUUUUUCCAAAUAAAUUGAACUUUAUCUUG
Molecule: long non-coding RNA, 3341 nt
Filed under: Pongo abelii (Sumatran orangutan)
Lineage: Eukaryota; Metazoa; Chordata; Mammalia; Primates; Hominidae
Description: lincRNA
Source: RNAcentral